GCUGGGGUAGCUCAGCUGGUAGAGCAUCUCCAUGGUAAGGAGAAGGUCGUGGGUUCAAUUCCCAUCCCCAGCU
Molecule: transfer RNA, 73 nt
Filed under: Elusimicrobia bacterium GWA2_56_46
Lineage: Bacteria; Pseudomonadati; Elusimicrobiota
Also listed under: 2 other names
Description: tRNA-Thr
Rfam family: tRNA
About the family: Transfer RNA (tRNA) molecules are approximately 80 nucleotides in length. Their secondary structure includes four short double-helical elements and three loops (D, anti-codon, and T loops).
Source: RNAcentral